CCGCUGGUGUCGACCCUUUCUGCUAAAGAUAAUCCAUAAUCUCCCAGCAAAAUUGCAUUGUUGCAUUUGGUUUCUGUGUAACUGGCAACGAAUGUGACUUCAGUUCUGUUCAAAUUCUGUGAAGAUCUGCAAUGAAUAUUGUUCAUCCAGCAGGUGGAUAUGACGUCACGGACUCGGAACAUCAGAAAAUAACAACAUCCAAAUCCGAGAUUCCGUUUUCUUUUAUAGCGCAUUAAAUUGUAUUAACAGUAGAAGGAGCUCGCUCUCGUAUUUGAGACAGAAGGUGUUGUGAAACUCUAGAUUAUUCUCCCUGUAACGGCGCUCCGUGAAUGCAGCAGAGACAUCUUCUUGUAGUGGUUAAAGUUAGUCCCCCGAAGCGGAGUAAUAUUGUUAGUAUUUACAGUGUGGUUGUUGCAUGCUUUCUUGGUACACAAGAUCGCGUGUACAGUUCAUUAACUCUAUCACAGAAUUGUCUACUGAGUCCACCUACCAUUGUCGAUUCCGAUCGGCUGCACGUUUUAUUGAAUUGACAACAUUUUCUAUCUAAUUUAACACCUUGACUGAGUGGUUUGGACUUCACCUGGACUAAACACAAAUCCCACACGUGCAUGUUUCUGUGGCUGUGUGAGAGCAGAGCAGAGGACCAUUAAACACAACACAGUGGUCUGGUCAAGCUAAGGGCCAUACCGUGAUUGAUGUCUCUCUCCCACGCCUUGGGGCUGCUUGUUUCUCCUCAACUUCUUUACGAGGAGAAUAUGGAACAGUGGCCCCCACCAUCCACCAUCACUGGAUAUCUUCAACCGUGCUAACAAUGAGCCUCUAAUAUGUCAUCAGUACUCUUUACUCUAUGGCUUUGUGUUUUUCAGGAUUAUUCAACUAUCAUUUGAUUUUAGGCUUAAUGUAGGCCUUUUCAUUUUCAGCUGCAGAGAGCUGUACAGGUUGAAGGCAUGUCUAAAUGUUUCAUAAUUUAUAUAUAAUGGCGUAAUUGUGUGACUGUUACAAUUUACACAUUUGAUUAUUAAAGUAAUUAUCACUUUCA
Oncorhynchus mykiss (rainbow trout) is the source of this 1039-nucleotide long non-coding RNA. RefSeq lists it as uncharacterized. Lineage: Eukaryota; Metazoa; Chordata; Actinopteri; Salmoniformes; Salmonidae. The record is from RefSeq and is a predicted model, not a curated record.